GUUUGAAUAAUUUAAAUAAAAAUAUUGGUCUUGUAAACCAAAUAUAAGCCCAGCUUUUUAAACA
RNAcentral lists this transfer RNA (64 nucleotides) under Epicauta tibialis. RNAcentral's name for it is "tRNA-Thr". The record is from RNAcentral. Lineage: Eukaryota; Metazoa; Arthropoda; Insecta; Coleoptera; Meloidae.